CCUUGCACUUCCCGGGUGAGGCAGCGCCCCACCCUGCUUCAGCUCACCCUCUGUGGGCUGCACCCACUGUCUAACCAGUCUCAAUGAGAUAAACCAGGUACCUCAGUUGUAAAUUCAGAAAUCACCCGUCCUCUGCUUCGAUCACGCUGGGAGUUGCAGACCAGAGCUGUUCCUAUUCGGCCAUCUUGGAACCGGUCUGAGUCUGUUUUAGCCAGAUCAAGUACUUGCAGACACUUGAAGAAGCAUCUUUCUUGUGAUCUCCUGGCUGGUACCCUGAAGUCCUGUUAUGCCAAUGGACCAGCAACCCUCGCAGGACUUCAUUUGCGGGGAGUCUUCAGAAAAAACAGGUCACUUGCAGUAAUAUAUAUAGAAGGACUAAAUUGUGAUUCUGGAGACCCAGGUUUCUGUUUGCUGUUCAACCAGUGUAGUCUUUUGUGUGCUGUUAACAGUGAUUUCUGGCUCAGUGAAAUGUGAUAAUGACUUCAUAUUUGUGAAGAGCUAAGGCAUCUCUGGCACCUUGGGGUCGGGAACUGUCACAUCAUUUUUGUCA
Molecule: non-coding RNA, 550 nt
Filed under: Pongo abelii (Sumatran orangutan)
Lineage: Eukaryota; Metazoa; Chordata; Mammalia; Primates; Hominidae
Source: RNAcentral